Molecule: microRNA, 21 nt
Filed under: Mus musculus (house mouse)
Lineage: Eukaryota; Metazoa; Chordata; Mammalia; Rodentia; Muridae
Description: mmu-miR-681
Gene: mmu-miR-681
Source: miRBase by way of RNAcentral
CAGCCUCGCUGGCAGGCAGCU